Molecule: small nuclear RNA, 189 nt
Organism: Zalophus californianus (California sea lion)
Lineage: Eukaryota; Metazoa; Chordata; Mammalia; Carnivora; Otariidae
Gene: U2
Rfam family: U2 spliceosomal RNA
About the family: U2 is a small nuclear RNA (snRNA) component of the spliceosome (involved in pre-mRNA splicing). Complementary binding between U2 snRNA (in an area lying towards the 5' end but 3' to hairpin I) and the branchpoint sequence (BPS) of the intron results the bulging out of an unpaired adenosine, on the BPS, which initiates a nucleophilic attack at the intronic 5' splice site, thus starting the first of two transesterification reactions that mediate splicing.
Source: Ensembl
AUCGCUUCUCAGCCUUUUGGCUAAGAUCAGGAGUAGUAUCUGUUCCCAUCAGUUUAAUAUCUGAUAUGUCUUCUAUCCAAGGACAAUAUAUUAAAUGGACUUUUGGAGUAGGGAGACUACAGGAGUUUGCUCUGUCCACUCCACACAUCAACCUGGUAUUGCAGUACUUCCAGGAACGGUGCACCUGCC